AGAAAACAUCACUUACUUUAAUACUUUUACUCAAGUGAUGUUCUAAAAGGUGACUUUAACUUCUACCAAAGUCAUUUUCUGGUAAGAUACUUGUACUUUUACUCAAGUAUUGCUUUCAAGUACUUUAUGCA
Molecule: long non-coding RNA, 131 nt
Organism: Etheostoma spectabile (orangethroat darter)
Lineage: Eukaryota; Metazoa; Chordata; Actinopteri; Perciformes; Percidae
Exons: 3
Source: RefSeq, a predicted model, not a curated record